RNAcentral lists this long non-coding RNA (567 nucleotides) under Coturnix japonica (Japanese quail). RNAcentral describes it as "lncRNA (ENSCJPG00005002294.1)". Lineage: Eukaryota; Metazoa; Chordata; Aves; Galliformes; Phasianidae. The record is from RNAcentral.
GUGAUUUGGGGCUGUUUUGGGGUCAUUAGUGCCAUUUUGGUUUCAAUUCCCCCCAUUUAGGGCCAUUUUGGGGCCAUUUCCCCCAAUUUAGGCCCAUUUUGGGCCCAUUUAAGGCCAUUUUGGGGCCAUAUUAACCCAUUUAGGGCCAUAUAACCCCUUUUAGGGCCAUUUUGGGGUCAAUUCCCCCCAUUUAGGGCCAUUUUGGGGUCAAUUCCCCCCAUUUAGGGCCAUUUUGGGCCCAUUUUGGGGCCAUUUCCCCCCAUUUAGGGCCAUUUUGGGGCCAUUUAACCCCAUUUAGGGCCAUAUAACCCCUUUUAGGGCCAUUUUGGGGUCAAUUCCCCCCAUUUAGGGCCAUAUAACCCCUUUUAGGGCCAUUUUGGGGUCAAUUCCCCCCAUUUAAGCCCAUUUUGGGGCCAUUUCCCCCCAUUUAGGGCCAUUUUGGGCCCAUAUAAACCCAUUUUAAUCCCCUUUUCGGGCCAUUUGACCCUAUAUAUACAUACACUCCCCCCUGCGCCACGCCCCCAAAGUCUCCGGCUAAAUACGGCAAGGGGGGGGGGGGGACAGCAA